GUGGCCAUGCUUUGUGUAUCUUGAACGCGGUCGAAUGUUUUAUAGACUAUUGGAAAUGAGUCAUCUUGGAGGACUAGUGAAGAGAUGAUGCUCUGUCGUGCAGCCCUCUCAGUAUAUUUUCCUUGUCAGAUUAGAUCCUUGCAAGCAGUUGGUUUGGGUGAAGACCACUUAUAUUCCAGAAAUGUGGUGUCCCGAUUUUUUUGCCGCUAGCUUAUGAGCCUGAUGUCUUUUAAA
This 234-nucleotide long non-coding RNA is filed under the name Eucalyptus grandis. Its description in RNAcentral is "long non-coding RNA (EGRA_LNC003553)". Lineage: Eukaryota; Viridiplantae; Streptophyta; Magnoliopsida; Myrtales; Myrtaceae. The record is from RNAcentral.